Molecule: ribosomal RNA, 253 nt
Filed under: uncultured bacterium
Lineage: Bacteria
Description: partial 16S ribosomal RNA
Rfam family: Bacterial small subunit ribosomal RNA
Source: RNAcentral
UACGUAGGGUGCAAGCGUUGUCCGGAAUUAUUGGGCGUAAAGAGCUCGUAGGCGGUUUGUCACGUCGGAUGUGAAACCCUGAGGCUCAACCUCAGGCCUGCAUUCGAUACGGGCAGACUAGAAUUCGGCAGGGGAGACUGGAAUUCCUGGUGUAGCGGUGAAAUGCGCAGAUAUCAGGAGGAACACCGAUUGCGAAGGCAGCUCGCUGGGACGUUACUGACGCUGAGACGCGAAAGCGUGGGGAGCAAACAGG